GACGAACCGAGCGAACGUUAUUCGGAAUCACUGGGCUUAAAGGGCGCGUAGGCGGGCCAUCAAGUCAGGGGUGAAAGCCUCCAGCUCAACUGGAGAAGUGCCUCUGAUACUGGUGGUCUCGAGGGAGGUAGGGGCGUGCGGAACUUCCGGUGGAGCGGUGAAACGCGUAGAUAUCGGAAGGAACACCGGUGGCGAAAGCGGCGCGCUGGACCUCUUCUGACGCUGAGGCGCGAAAGCCAGGGGAGCGAACGGG
This 253-nucleotide ribosomal RNA is filed under the name uncultured bacterium. RNAcentral's name for it is "partial 16S ribosomal RNA". It matches the Rfam family "Bacterial small subunit ribosomal RNA", at positions 524 to 776 of the family's 1533-position model. The record is from RNAcentral.